This is a non-coding RNA of Paramuricea clavata, 73 nucleotides long. Lineage: Eukaryota; Metazoa; Cnidaria; Anthozoa; Malacalcyonacea; Plexauridae. The record is from the annotation of a GenBank genome assembly.
GACCGUGUAGCUCAGUUAGCAGAGCAUUGGGCUAGUAUUCCAAAGGUCGUAGGUUCGAAUCCCACCAUGGCCA